AAAAUUGAAUCGUCACAAAGGGGGACUCGGCGGAAAAUAUGGUGGUAUACUACACAGUGAAUAGAUAUACCCGUAUAUUUUUCUGCCGAGCCCCUCCACGACAUCAAUAAGG
RNAcentral lists this microRNA precursor (112 nucleotides) under Caenorhabditis briggsae. RNAcentral describes it as "microRNA cbr-mir-55 precursor". Its record names the gene cbr-mir-55. The stretch from base 20 to 95 matches the Rfam family "mir-55 microRNA precursor family". The record is from miRBase by way of RNAcentral. Lineage: Eukaryota; Metazoa; Nematoda; Chromadorea; Rhabditida; Rhabditidae.